ACUCCUACGGGAGGCAGCAGUAAGGAAUAUUGGUCAAUGGACGAAAGUCUGAACCAGCCAUGCCGCGUGAAGGAUGAAGGUCCUCUGGAUUGUAAACUUCUUUUAUAUGGGACGAAAAUGGGCCUUUCUAGGUCAACUGACGGUACCAUAAGAAUAAGCACCGGCUAACUCCGUGCCAGCAGCCGCGGUAAUAC
This 194-nucleotide ribosomal RNA is filed under the name uncultured bacterium. Its description in RNAcentral is "partial 16S ribosomal RNA". It matches the Rfam family "Bacterial small subunit ribosomal RNA", at positions 335 to 526 of the family's 1533-position model. The record is from RNAcentral.